Molecule: ribosomal RNA, 1328 nt
Filed under: metagenome
Description: bacterial LSU rRNA
Rfam family: Bacterial large subunit ribosomal RNA
Source: RNAcentral
AAAAAAGUAGCAGAGCGUGUGAGCCAUGUGCCGAGAAAAGCUGCUAUUGUGUAAUGCGUGCCCGUACCGUAAACCGACACAGGUGGAUGAGGAGAGAAUCCUAAGGCCGACGGAAGAAGCAUUGUUAAGGAAUUCGGCAAAAUGACCCCGUAACUUCGGGAGAAGGGGUGCCUGCGAGAGCAGGCCGCAGAGAAUAGGCUCAAGCAACUGUUUAGCAAAAACACAGGUCUAUGCGAAACCGAAAGGUGAAGUAUAUGAGCUGACGCCUGCCCGGUGCUGGAAGGUUAAGAGGAGAGGUUAGCGUAAGCGAAGCUUUGAAUUUAAGCCCCAGUAAACGGCGGCCGUAACUAUAACGGUCCUAAGGUAGCGAAAUUCCUUGUCGGGUAAGUUCCGACCCGCACGAAAGGCGUAAUGAUUUGAGCACUGUCUCGACAAUGCAUCCGGUGAAAUUGAAGUACCAGUGAAGAUGCUGGUUACCCGCGCCAGGACGGAAAGACCCCAUGGAGCUUUACUCCAGUUUGAUACUGGGAUUCGGUACUGCAUGUACAGGAUAGGUGGGAGACGAAGAAGGAUGGACGCCAGUCUGUCCGGAGUCGCUGUUGGGAUACCACCCCUGUAGUACUGGGUUUCUAACCAGUUGCCAUGAACUGGCAAUGGGACAAUGUCAGGCGGGGAGUUUGACUGGGGCGGUCGCCUCCGAAAGGGUAUCGGAGGCGCUCAAAGGUUCCCUCAGAAUGGUUGGAAACCAUUUGAAGAGUGCAAAGGCAGAAGGGAGCUUGACUGCGACACCGACGGGUGGAGCAGGUACGAAAGUAGGACUUAGUGAUCCGGUGGUACAAAGUGGGAUUGCCAUCGCUCAACGGAUAAAAGCUACCCUGGGGAUAACAGGCUUAUCACUCCCAAGAGUUCACAUCAACGGAGUGGUUUGGCACCUCGAUGUCGGCUCAUCGCAUCCUGGGGCUGUAGCAGGUCCCAAGGGUUGGGCUGUUCGCCCAUUAAAGCGGUACGCGAGCUGGGUUCAGAACGUCGUGAGACAGUACGGUCCCUAUCCGGCGCGGGCGGAGGAUAUUUGAGAGGAGCUGUCCUUAGUACGAGAGGACGGGGAUGGACGGACCACUGGUGUAUCUGUUGUCGACCAACGGCAUGGCAGAGUAGCCAAGUCUGGAAGGGAUAAACGCUGAAGGCAUCUAAGCGUGAAGCCCCCCUCAAGAUGAGAUAUCCCUCCUUCGGGAGUAAGACCCCUUGAAGACUACAAGGUAGAUAGGGCAGAGGUGGAAGCAUGGCAACAUGUGGAGCUGACUGUUACUAAUAGGUCGAGGGCUUAAUAG